Molecule: small RNA, 28 nt
Filed under: Bombyx mori (domestic silkworm)
Lineage: Eukaryota; Metazoa; Arthropoda; Insecta; Lepidoptera; Bombycidae
Description: piRNA piR-bmo-2083036
Source: RNAcentral
UUACGGAUGCUACAGCUGGAGGUUGCAA